CCUCUCCCCGUUUUUGGCAAUGGUAGAACUCACACUGGUGAGGUAAUGGGAUCCGGUGGUUCUAGACUUGCCAACUAUGGGGCGAGG
MicroRNA precursor from Callithrix jacchus (white-tufted-ear marmoset), 87 nucleotides. Ensembl annotates it as cja-mir-182. Its record names the gene cja-mir-182. NCBI's taxonomy places the organism in Eukaryota, Metazoa, Chordata, Mammalia, Primates, Cebidae. The record is from Ensembl.